This 486-nucleotide ribosomal RNA is filed under the name uncultured Paenibacillus sp. RNAcentral describes it as "partial 16S ribosomal RNA". The record is from RNAcentral. Lineage: Bacteria; Bacillati; Bacillota; Bacilli; Caryophanales; Paenibacillaceae.
CACGUAGUUAGCCGGGGCUUUCUUCUCAGGUACCGUCACCUUGUGAGCAGUUACUCUCACAAGUGUUCUUCCCUGGCAACAGAGCUUUACGAUCCGAAAACCUUCAUCACUCACGCGGCGUUGCUCCGUCAGACUUUCGUCCAUUGCGGAAGAUUCCCUACUGCUGCCUCCCGUAGGAGUCUGGGCCGUGUCUCAGUCCCAGUGUGGCCGAUCACCCUCUCAGGUCGGCUACGCAUCGUCGCCUUGGUGAGCCGUUACCUCACCAACUAGCUAAUGCGCCGCAGGUCCAUCCAUAAGUGACAGAUUGCUCCGUCUUUCCCGAUUCUCUCAUGCGAGAAAAUCGCGUAUCCGGUAUUAGCAUUCGUUUCCGAAUUGUUAUCCCAGUCUUAUGGGCAGGUUACCUAGUGUUACUCACCCGUCCGCCGCUAAGUCUCAAGGAAGCAAGCUUCUAUCAACUCGCUCGACUUGCAUGUAUAGGCACGCCGC